AUGAGGUUCCCUGCUCAGCUCCUGGGGCUGCUGAUGCUCUGGAUCACUGGAACCAGUGGGGAUGUUGUGGUGACCCAGACUCCCCUCUCCCUCCCCGUCACCCCUGGAGAGCUGGUCUCCAUCUCCUGCAGGGCUAGUCUAAGCCUCCUACAUAGUAAAGGAAACACCUAUUUCAAAUUGUUCCUGCAGAACCCAGGCCAGGCUCCACAGCUCCUGAUCUAUUUGGUUUCCAACUGGGCCUCUGGAGUCCCAGACAGGUUCAGUGGCAGUGGGCCAGGGACAGAUUUCACACUGAAGAUCAGCAGGGUGGAGGCUGCGGAUGUUGGAGUGUAUCACUGCCUGCAACAUACACAUGCUCUGUCCACAGUGAUAUAA
Molecule: non-coding RNA, 375 nt
Organism: Galeopterus variegatus (Sunda flying lemur)
Lineage: Eukaryota; Metazoa; Chordata; Mammalia; Dermoptera; Cynocephalidae
Source: the annotation of a RefSeq genome assembly